AUACGUAGGGUGCAAGCGUUAAUCGGAAUUACUGGGCGUAAAGCGUGCGCAGGCGGUUUUGUAAGACAGUGGUGAAAUCCCCGGGCUCAACCUGGGAACUGCCAUUGUGACUGCAAGGCUGGAGGGCGGCAGAGGGGGAUGGAAUUCCGCGUGUCGCAGUGAAAUGCGUAGAUAUGCGGAGGAACACCGAUGGCGAAGGCAAUCCCCUGGGCCUGCACUGACGCUCAUGCACGAAAGCGUGGGGAGCAAACAGGAUUAGAUACCCUGGUAGUCCACGCCCUAAACGAUGUCAACUGGUUGUUGGGUCUUCAUUGACUCAGUAACGAAGCUAACGCGUGAAGUUGACCGCCUGGGGAGUACGGCCGCAAGGUUGAAACUCAAAUGAAUUGACGGG
Molecule: ribosomal RNA, 394 nt
Filed under: uncultured bacterium
Lineage: Bacteria
Description: partial 16S ribosomal RNA
Rfam family: Bacterial small subunit ribosomal RNA
Source: RNAcentral